AUCGCUUCUCGGCCUUUUGGCUAAGAUCAAGUGUAGUAUCUGUUCGUAUCAGUUUAAUAUCUGAUACGUCCCCCAUCGGGGGACUACAUAUUAAAUGGAUUUUUCGAACAGGGAGUCGGAAAUGGGGCUUUGCUCCGUCCGCUCCACGCAUCGACCCGGUAUUGCAGUACCUCCGGGAACGUGCAACACUU
Molecule: small nuclear RNA, 191 nt
Organism: Oncorhynchus mykiss (rainbow trout)
Lineage: Eukaryota; Metazoa; Chordata; Actinopteri; Salmoniformes; Salmonidae
Gene: U2
Rfam family: U2 spliceosomal RNA
About the family: U2 is a small nuclear RNA (snRNA) component of the spliceosome (involved in pre-mRNA splicing). Complementary binding between U2 snRNA (in an area lying towards the 5' end but 3' to hairpin I) and the branchpoint sequence (BPS) of the intron results the bulging out of an unpaired adenosine, on the BPS, which initiates a nucleophilic attack at the intronic 5' splice site, thus starting the first of two transesterification reactions that mediate splicing.
Source: Ensembl